RNAcentral lists this ribosomal RNA (273 nucleotides) under uncultured bacterium. Its description in RNAcentral is "partial 16S ribosomal RNA". It matches the Rfam family "Bacterial small subunit ribosomal RNA", at positions 524 to 796 of the family's 1533-position model. The record is from RNAcentral.
UACGUAGGGUGCAAGCGUUAAUCGGAAUUACUGGGCGUAAAGCGUGCGCAGGCGGUUAUAUAAGACAGAUGUGAAAUCCCCGGGCUCAACCUGGGAACUGCAUUUGUGACUGUAUAGCUAGAGUACGGCAGAGGGGGAUGGAAUUCCGCGUGUAGCAGUGACAGGCGUAGAUAGGCGGAGGAAAACCGAUGGCGAAGGCAAUCCCCUGGGCCUGUACUGACGCUCAUGCACGAAAGCGUGGGGCGCCAACAGGAUUAGAUCCCAGGGUAGUCC